Molecule: ribosomal RNA, 450 nt
Filed under: uncultured bacterium
Lineage: Bacteria
Description: partial 16S ribosomal RNA
Rfam family: Bacterial small subunit ribosomal RNA
Source: RNAcentral
CCUACGGGUGGCUGCAGUAGGGACUAUUGGGCAAUGGACGCAAGUCUGACCCAGCCACGCCGCGUGAAGGAUGACUGCCCUAUGGGUUGUAAACUUCUUUUGUAUGGGAAGAAACCUCCGAACGUGUUCGGAGCUGACGGUACCAUAAGAAUAAGCAUCGGCUAACUCCGUGCCAGCAGCCGCGGUCAUACGGAGGAUGCAAGCGUUGUCCGGAUUCAUUGGGUUUAAAGGGGGCAUAUACGGAGGAUUAGAAAGCUUGCAGCUUAACUUUGAAAAUGCCAUUGAAACUGAUUUUCUUGAGUUCGAUUGAGGUAGAUGGAAUGUAUCAUGUAGCGGUGAAAUGCUUAGAUAUGAUACAGAACACCAAUUGCGAAGGCAGUCUACUAAGUCGAUACUGACGCUGAGGCACGAAAGCAUGGGGAGCAAACAGGAUUAGAUACCCCAGUAGUC